Suricata suricatta (meerkat) is the source of this 451-nucleotide long non-coding RNA. RefSeq lists it as uncharacterized. NCBI's taxonomy places the organism in Eukaryota, Metazoa, Chordata, Mammalia, Carnivora, Herpestidae. The record is from RefSeq and is a predicted model, not a curated record. The transcript is spliced from 3 exons.
ACAGCAUGACUUUUGAGGCUAUGUUCAAAAAGGUUGUACAGCAGCUCCCCAGUUCUUCUGGGACACUUGCCCUGGGGGCCAACAGGGGUCAUGGAAGAAGUCUGUCUACGUGGAGACUACCCGGCUGCGGGGACCAUCCGAAGCACCAACGGCCACUUAGGGGAGAGCUGUGUUGGCAACAAGAUGCAAGUGCCAAAUAAUGCUACCUGGUAACACAUGAACCAAAGAAAAUACAAACGAGUAAGGAAACUGUCUUCCUUCAAGAUAUUAGGUACAUAAGACAAAGCAUCCAAUCACAGGUGGCACUGUCUCUCACAUUUGGAACUGCAGGGAUUCAAAAUGAAAAUACCUCUCAAGGAAGCCAUUCCAGUGAAUAUAACGGGGCAGGGGAUAUGUUAACUAACUAUUUGGACAAAAAAAAAAGAAAAGAAAAGAAAAGCAUAAAACAACA